Long non-coding RNA from Populus nigra (black poplar), 1374 nucleotides. RefSeq lists it as uncharacterized. The transcript has 7 exons. The record is from RefSeq and is a predicted model, not a curated record. Lineage: Eukaryota; Viridiplantae; Streptophyta; Magnoliopsida; Malpighiales; Salicaceae.
CGUAAAAAAACACUCUCAUUUCUCUUCAAAAAUGGAUUCUCUCAGACAACAGUCACUGAUCCCUAGCUUCCUCUAUUCUUCUUCUUCCUCCGCUAAACCUUUCUCCCUCUCUAACCUCCUCCACUCCGAACAACCAUCGCUUUCUCCGUCUUCAUCGUCGUCAACGACCACAAUGGACAGCAAGAGCAGUGGCAGAUUUGUGGUCCCGGCACCGAGUGAGCCUGGGAAGAAGAUCGAGAUUUAACGAAUAAGGAUCCUAUCAUGGGCUGCUAUCAAUGCUGGGGAUCGGGUUAAUAGUUCCUUGAAAGACAGGGCAGUGGUGAUGAAGCAAUUGGAUGGAGGUGAUGAGGCGAUCAAAUCUUUUCGUCAUCUCUACCCCUAUGAUUCUCGGGAAUCUAUUGAGAAUGUGCUAGUUGAACUCUACAAGGGCUUCAGGGGAACAUGAAUCAUCUCGAAGGGUCAAAUCUGAACUUCUGGUUCAGGUAGAUGGUGUAAACAAUAGUCCCACUUGUGAAGAUGGCCAUCGGAAAAUAGUGAUGGUUUUGGCAGCUACAAACUUUUCUUGGGACAUAGAUGAGGCACUAAGAUUGGUUCGUUGUCUUCUGGAGGAGGUUGGAAAAGCAUAUUUAUAUUCCAUUUCCAAAUUUUGAGAUUCGUAAAGAGCUUAUUAGGAUCAAUUUGAAAACUAUUGAGGAGGAGGUUGGAAAAUCAUAUUUAUAUUCCAUUUCCAAAUUUUGAGAGUCGUAAAGAGCUUAUUAGGAUCAAUUUGAAAACUAUUGAGAUCUUGGAUCAAAUCAAAUCAUUCUUUGAGUUGUUAUUGUUAGGCCCCACUUCGCCUUGUCACCUAGAGGUGGCCACUGACGUAGAUAUUGAUGAAGUUGCUUGCAGGACGGAGGGAUACAGUGAAGAUGCUCUAACUAAUGUUUGCAGAGAUGCUUCUUUGAAUGGCAUGAGGUGAAAGAUAACAAGCAAGGCACGAGAUGAGAUUAAGAACAUGCCUAAGGAUGAGAUUUCAAAUGAUCCUGUUGCAAUGUGUGAUUUUGAAGAAGCCUUGUGGAAGGUUCAGCGCAGUCUUUCCCAAGCAGAUAUGGAGAAGCAUGGGGAGUGGUUCCCGGAAUUUGAAUCAGCCCAAGGGAGAUGAGACCCAUCUUAUGAUGAAGACUACUGCUGAUUGGUAUUUUCUUUGCAUGUUUUUCACCAAGAACCUGGCUUUUUUAUUGUAGCUUACACAUACGAUUUCAUUCAUGGCUGAGAAUCUAACCAUGGUGAUCCAUAUGUUGAAUUGCGUGUUUGGAUAUUGUCAGCAUGCUUGUAGCAAAAGUUGGGUGAGUAAGAACUGUUUGCCAAAAUGAUAUCCAAUCCCUUCUUUCUUUC